RNAcentral lists this transfer RNA (64 nucleotides) under Raptrix fusca. RNAcentral describes it as "tRNA-Asp". Lineage: Eukaryota; Metazoa; Arthropoda; Insecta; Mantodea; Acanthopidae. The record is from RNAcentral.
AAGAAGUUAGUUAAAAUAUAACAUUAGAAUGUCAACCUAAAAUUAUUUAAUAAAAUACUUCUUU